Molecule: long non-coding RNA, 2072 nt
Organism: Suncus etruscus (white-toothed pygmy shrew)
Lineage: Eukaryota; Metazoa; Chordata; Mammalia; Eulipotyphla; Soricidae
Exons: 2
Source: RefSeq, a predicted model, not a curated record
UACAGAGUUUCUCAGAUGUCUUAUCUAGUAUGCUAAUAACUAUUGCUCCAAUUUUUAUAUAUUGCUUGUUUUGGUUAUUAGAUACUAAUAAUUCUAAGAUGCUUGUGUAUAAAUUCAACAUGAUGGUAGGUCUGUGUUUCUCCUUGUAGUUUUCUAACUUUAUAUAUUUUGAGGGUACUUUGUUAAGAAAUUCAAAUUAAAGUGUUGUAUAUUCCUGAUAAGUUAAAUUCUAUUUUUAUCUCACAUUAAUAUAGUAACAAAAUAUUUUUUCUUGUUAUGAUAUAAUAAGAGUUCUGUGGUAUAUAAUUUUCUAUCAUUUUACUUUUCAACGUUUUAUGUUCUUUAUGCUGUAAUUAUAUCUCUUAGAAAUGGCAUAUAGAUGGACCUUUAAAAAUCUAAUCUGAACACUUCAAGAUGUAGACCUCAAAGAUGUCUUCAUUGACAGGAUGCCAAUGACAAGGACUAUAGAAUCAAACCUGACUAAAUGAGAUUACAUCAAACCAAAAAAAAAUUUUUUUAUGGCAAAAGAAACACUAGCUAAAAUUAAAAGACAGCUGAGUGGGAGAAAAUAUUUGCAUUCAGAUAAAGGGAUGAUAUCUUUUUUUGGAAGCCUCAUGCCCCAAUCCCAAGAGCGUGGGUCUGAAAGCAAAUGCUGAUACUGGAAAUAAUACACACAAGGUUGAAGAGAAUAAAAUAGUUUCAGGAAACUUCCACCACAAGCUUUCCACUCACUAGCAAAAUAUAUCAGCAGGCAGACUAAUCGUGGCAACUGAAACCACAAGCAGCUUCUCCAUGAGACCCAAGGUCUGUGUUUGGAAGAUAAAAAGCACCCCCUUGGGUGGAGAGCAGAUAGGAAUAAGGGAAGAAUCCACAGGUACUUCAGUCCAUCAAUGACAAACACCAGCAAAGAGGAAUUAUUCCGAAUAUGAGUGCAAACUGGUUACAAUGACAACUCUCCCUUCUUAAUUUUAUAGAAAAUACAAAAAAUAUGAGAUAAAAAAGUAAUUUGUGUUUUAAGGUUUAUGCAAAGGACAGGAGACCCUAUCUAAAAAUAAAAAUUGUGGCAAUUUUUGCAUAAGCACAGUAAAAGUUGGGAAAGUAGAAAGAAAAAACCUUUGGCCUAAAAACAGGGCAUUCCUACCCAUGAAGCAUCCUGUCAUAAGACCAAAUAUAGGCUCCCGGGAAAAUUAAUUUGUCUAACCCCAAAGUCUUUUUUCAUGAUCCCUGGAAAAUUUCUCCUCAUCCCAAUUGUCAGAGUCAGACUUGAAUAUUUAGAGAUCUUGAUUUUUGCACUGAUCCUAUGUUGAAGUCAGGAUGUCACGAAGUGUCUCCUAGUUUCAUAUCAUCAUUUGGUGAUGUGGCAAGGAAACCCAUCCUGAAAGCAAGGCAUUGCUUGUUUCCAAGUCAUUGUUAUGGUGGCAUAGGAGCCCACUCUGGAACAAAUCAGUGCCAAAAAAAACAUUAGGGGCUGCCCUGGUAGAAGGUUGAUUCAGGGUGAUGGUGCAGAAACCAUGAUAAUUCCAAAUAUGGGACACAAGCUUUAGGGGUUAAUGGUUAAUGUCCAAGCAACUGAAGCCUAAGUGAAGUCACUAUGACAAAUGUUCAGGGUGGAAAAUAAAAAUUUCAGAGUUCCUAUCCUUAUUAAAUAGGAAAUUAUCUCUAUACCUAAGAUUUCUUCCAUUUUAUUGUGCCUAUGCAAAAAAGGAACAAUGCCACAGAAAACUAUUGGUGCAUAUAUGGAUAUAACAAGUUAAUAACAAGCAAACUAAACAAUCCCUAUAACCUGGUUCUACUAGAAACACAGACUCAAUAAAUAUAUUUCUACUAGAAUUUUCUACUAAACAAACCAAAAAAGUGGGAAAAAAUUACAUCUACAUAUGUAAGUACACAAUAAAGAAUUAGACAUAUUUAGGAAGUUCACCAAAAAUAUAUACAUAUCCCCCUUCAGUCUUUUGAAAUAGUUUGAGGGGGAUAAAAUCCAGAGUACACCUUCAGCCUUCAUUAAGUUGUGGUUAUCAAACUGACUUUAUAGGUUAGAUUGUGCAUAGACCAUCCCCAAAAUAAUCAUAUUU